This 264-nucleotide ribosomal RNA is filed under the name uncultured bacterium. RNAcentral's name for it is "partial 16S ribosomal RNA". It matches the Rfam family "Bacterial small subunit ribosomal RNA", at positions 29 to 289 of the family's 1533-position model. The record is from RNAcentral.
AUGAACGCUGGCGGCGUGCUUAACACAUGCAAGUCGGACGAUUAAAGCUCACUUCGGUGAGUGCAUAGAGUGGCGAACGGGUGAGUAACACGUGGGAAACCUGCCCUUUCUUCGGGAUAACUUCGGGAAACCGUUGCUAAUACCGGAUACUCCGGGAUGGUCGCAAUGGCCGACCCGGGAAAGCUUUAUGUGGAAAGGGAUGGUCCCGCGGCCCAUUAGCUUGUUGGUGGGGUAAUGGCCUACCAAGGCGAUGAUGGGUAGCCG